GACGAACGCUGGCGGCGUGCCUAAUACAUGCAAGUAGAACGCUGAAGCGAGGAGCUUGCUCUUCUUGGAUGAGUUGCGAACGGGUGAGUAACGCGUAGGUAACCUGCCUUGUAGCGGGGGAUAACUAUUGGAAACGAUAGCUAAUACCGCAUAACAAUGGAUGACACAUGUCAUUUAUUUGAAAGGGGCAAUUGCUCCACUACAUGAUGGACCUGCGUUGUAUUAGCUAGUAGGUGAGGUAAUGGCUCACCUAGGCGACGAUACAUAGCCGACCUGAGAGGGUGAUCGGCCACACUGGGACUGAGACACGGCCCAGACUCCUACGGGAGGCAGCAGUAGGGAAUCUUCGGCAAUGGGGGCAACCCUGACCGAGCAACGCCGCGUGAGUGAAGAAGGUUUUCGGAUCGUAAAGCUCUGUUGUAAGUCAAGAACGGGUGUGAGAGUGGAAAGUUCACACUGUGACGGUAGCUUACCAGAAAGGGACGGCUAACUACGUG
This 497-nucleotide ribosomal RNA is filed under the name uncultured bacterium. Its description in RNAcentral is "partial 16S ribosomal RNA". It matches the Rfam family "Bacterial small subunit ribosomal RNA", at positions 28 to 507 of the family's 1533-position model. The record is from RNAcentral.